This 218-nucleotide long non-coding RNA is filed under the name Elaeis guineensis (African oil palm). RNAcentral's name for it is "long non-coding RNA (EGUI_LNC014464)". The record is from RNAcentral. Lineage: Eukaryota; Viridiplantae; Streptophyta; Magnoliopsida; Arecales; Arecaceae.
UGCCGUGCUAUAGACUGGGAAGAGAUGAUGCCAAAACAUGCCAUAUCCAAGACAGGGAUUAGAGUAGAUCAGGUUAUAAUUGAAAAAACUCUUAAACUACCAAAGCUAAUCUUGGUUCAACAAACACAAUACCUUCCUGGUCAUCAAAAAAAUUAUGAGAAUAUUGUUAGUCCCUAGUAUUGCAUGCUUGCCCAGUAUAUUCUAUUGGUUCGGGCUAA